This 512-nucleotide ribosomal RNA is filed under the name uncultured Alteromonadaceae bacterium. RNAcentral's name for it is "bacterial SSU rRNA". It matches the Rfam family "Bacterial small subunit ribosomal RNA", at positions 540 to 1050 of the family's 1533-position model. The record is from RNAcentral. Lineage: Bacteria; Pseudomonadati; Pseudomonadota; Gammaproteobacteria; Alteromonadales; Alteromonadaceae.
GUUAAUCGGAAUUACUGGGCGUAAAGCGCACGCAGGCGGUCUGUUAAGCUAGAUGUGAAAGCCCCGCGCUCAACGUGGGAGGGUCAUUUAGAACUGGCAGACUAGAGUCUUGGAGAGGGGAGUGGAAUUCCAGGUGUAGCGGUGAAAUGCGUAGAGAUCUGGAGGAACAUCAAUGGCGAAGGCAACUCCCUGGCCAAAGACUGACGCUCAUGUGCGAAAGUGUGGGUAGCGAACAGGAUUAGAUACCCUGGUAGUCCACACCGUAAACGAUGUGUGUUAGACGUUGGAAAUUUAUUUUCAGUGUCGCAGCGAAAGCGAUAAACACACCGCCUGGGGAGUACGACCGCAAGGUUAAAACUCAAAUGAAUUGACGGGGACCCGCACAAGUAGUGGAGCAUGUGGUUUAAUUCGAAGAUACGCGCAGAACCUUACCAACACUUGACAUGUUCGUCGCGACUUUAAGAGAUUAAAGUUUUCGGUUCGGCCGGACGAAACACAGGUGCUGCAUGGCU